This 253-nucleotide ribosomal RNA is filed under the name uncultured bacterium. RNAcentral's name for it is "partial 16S ribosomal RNA". It matches the Rfam family "Bacterial small subunit ribosomal RNA", at positions 524 to 776 of the family's 1533-position model. The record is from RNAcentral.
UACGUAGGGUGCGAGCGUUGUCCGGAAUUAUUGGGCGUAAAGAGCUUGUAGGCGGUCUGUCGCGUCUGCUGUGAAAAUCCGGGGCUCAACCCCGGACUUGCAGUGGGUACGGGCAGACUAGAGUGUGGUAGGGGAGACUGGAAUUCCUGGUGUAGCGGUGAAAUGCGCAGAUAUCAGGAGGAACACCGGUGGCGAAGGCGGUUCUCUGGGCCUGUACUGACGCUGAGGAACGAAAGCGUGGGGAGCGAACAGG